RNAcentral lists this ribosomal RNA (352 nucleotides) under uncultured archaeon. Its description in RNAcentral is "bacterial SSU rRNA". It matches the Rfam family "Archaeal small subunit ribosomal RNA", at positions 504 to 856 of the family's 1478-position model. The record is from RNAcentral.
UUGGGCCUAAAGCGUCCGUAGCCGGCUCGGUAAAUCUCUGGGUAAAUCGAUAGGCUUAACUUAUCGAGUUCUGGGGAGACUGCCGGGCUUGGGAUCGGGAGAGGUCGGAGGUACUCCAGGGGUAGGGGUGAAAUCCUGUAAUCCUUGGGGGACCACCGGUGGCGAAGGCGUCCGACCAGAACGAGUCCGACGGUAAGGGACGAAGCCCUGGGGCGCAAACCGGAUUAGAUACCCGGGUAGUCCAGGGUGUAAACGCUGUGCGCUUGGUGUUGGGGGUCCUACGAGGGCACCCAGUGCCGGAGAGAAGUUGUUAAGCGCACCGCCUGGGGAGUACGGUCGCAAGACUGAAACU